This is an unclassified non-coding RNA of Erinaceus europaeus (western European hedgehog), 284 nucleotides long. Its record names the gene 7SK. It matches the Rfam family "7SK RNA". Rfam says of the family: 7SK was discovered as an abundant small nuclear RNA in the mid-70s but a possible function has only recently been suggested. Two independent studies have found that 7SK RNA binds the CDK9/cyclin T complex (known as elongation factor P-TEFb). Lineage: Eukaryota; Metazoa; Chordata; Mammalia; Eulipotyphla; Erinaceidae. The record is from Ensembl.
GGACAUGAGGGCGAUCUGGCUGCGACAUCUGUCACCCCAUUGAUUGCCAGGGUUGAUUCGGCCAAUCUGGCUGGCUAGGCGGGUAUCCCCUUCCUCCCUCACCGCUCCAUGUGCGUCCCUCCCAAAGCUGCACGCUCCAUGGAAGAGGAAGGCCUUCCCUGAAUAGAGACGCACAGGUCUUAGGUCGAGGGUAUAUGAGUAGCUGCGCUCCCCUGCUAGAACCUCCAAACAAGCUCUCAAGAAUAUCAGUUGGGGGAGGGGGGGCAGGGUUUGGGCUAGCAUGA